Molecule: long non-coding RNA, 8407 nt
Filed under: Malus domestica (apple)
Lineage: Eukaryota; Viridiplantae; Streptophyta; Magnoliopsida; Rosales; Rosaceae
Description: long non-coding RNA (MDOM_LNC015798)
Source: RNAcentral
AGCCUCCUUUGCCGCAUUUGUGAUGAUCCUCUUUCUGGUAACAACUGGUGCAGAUUUUGGAGAUGGUGAUGGUGAUGGAGAUACUGCUGAUGAUUGACGAUGAAGAUGAUGAAGAUCAAGUGAUCUCUGUUUCUUGAUGGGCCCGCUUGGUUGCAGCUGCAUAGUGCCCCUCAGACACCCACCAUAUGGAUUAUGACUGUUUUUUGAUGAAAUCUUUUUCUUGAUGCUGAUCUUGGUAAUUGGGUGGUCUUGAUCUUGGGAUUCCUUUUUGCAUGAGGAUGAAGAAUUUGAGGAGUUUUGGGUGUCCUCCUUCUGGGUGAGGCACCAAUUGCAGAUUCUGUAGGACUCAGCAUUUGGGUAAAGAUUGCUGCAGUACCUGCACAUAGGAAAUCUGAUUACAGUUAAACUUCAGUUUAGUUAGAUCAUAACCCAUAAAUUAAAAGAUCAAAUUAAAAAUGUUCAUAUAAUUAAACAAAAAAGAGAGUGGUUUUGUUAAACUGGGGACCUGUGCUGAGAUCUGAAUUGGCAAACCUUGCAAACAAAGAGCUCAUAGGAGAAGCCAAAAUCCCCACACAUGCAGCACUCAUGGCUGCCUGCUGCUUGCUCUUGGACUUGGACUACUGAUGAUGCGUUGUUGUUUCCUUUGCUACUCGUUGUCAUAUUGUUGUUGCAGAGGGGAGGGAGGGGGAGAGAGAGAGAGAUGAAUGAUGAGGGAGGGAUUUUUUUGGGUAGGCCGACGGCCACACAACAAAAGCCACAAAACGUGUAGUGUUUUAUUGGGAUUCUUAAUUAAAUAAAGUAAUAUAUAAAAUAUACACAUCAUUUUCAUUUUUGGUACGGCCGUGUGUAGAACGUGACACCUUUAUUUAUUUUUGGUAAUAAAGCAAACAAAAACAAUGGUAAAGUUAAAUAUGAGCAUGUAAGCACGGUAAAAGGAGUGUGGCGAAAUCAUUUUCUAACUUAUACUAUCAUAAUUUCGUUUGUUAAAAAAAAACUAGUACUAUCAUGAUUUCAUUACAAUAAAAAAAUUUCGUUGGAGAGAAAGAAUAAAGAAUGAGGCUUUACAAUUGGUAUUGGUAUAUAAAUUUUUCCAGCUAUAAAUUCUCUAUAUUUUUCUUUUUCUUCUUUAGAUAUAAAGGUCCUUUUCUUGUACAAAAAUAAUGGUGAUUUUCCAUGAUUGACAAAAGUAAAAAAAUAAAUAUAAAAUUCAUGGUGGCAUAUGAUACUUUAUCAGAUUAUUGAAAAACAAUAAUGUUAUGUAUAUGCACAGUGAUGUGAGUUCAAUUCUCAUCGAUUUUUCUCAUUUUAAUAACUAACUAUCUAAUUCACUGAUAACAUUGUUGUCCUCAAAAGAGCAUUAUUUUUACAUGAGAAAAGGUUUUACUUCUUACAAGGCUGUCACAAAAGGAGGGGAAAACAAAUAAUUCCUUUUUCUUGUGUGUGAAAUUAUCUGUUACUUGCCCUACAGUCAUUUCUUAUUUGGGAUUGCUUUCUAAUCUCUUUCUGUUGAUUCUGCACUGAAAUGGUAAAAGAAAAAGCUUCUGCAUGCACCGAUUCCAUGCGAGGAACGUAGGUUUUCGUAAUUCUUUUUCUUUCCUUUUUGUUUCGUCACAAAGAAGAGUUAAUAAUUCUAGAUUUUUUGUGGUUUGUCAUACAUGCCUUUUGUGCGAUUUACCUAUAUAUUAAUUAAAUAAAUACCAAUAUUUAAUCCACUCAAAUUAGGGUUUUUUUAAAAAAAUUAUUUUUUAAACAAAUAAUAUUAUCUACACUAAGAGUCGGGGAUGGGCUGAACCUCAUAAUAAUCUAACAAUAAUAUGGUUCAAAUUCGCUUUUGGCAAGAAUUGAACUUAAGACCUCUCACUUACAAAUGAAGAGGAAUACCAUUAGACCGUAGUACUAAGUGACACUCAAAUUAGGGUAUUUGAUUAUUAAGUAUCUCUUAAUUAUCUUUGUGAUAUUUAAAGAAAAUCCUUAAAAAACUAUUCUUAGAAUUUUCAUGGACGUAUCUAUCUUUCUACUCUGUUCCCAACUACGGGCUUUCAGGAAGAAAGAAGAGACAAAGAGAAAAUCUCUCUCGGUAUUUGUUUUAACAAACGAUAUUAUCUACAAGGAAUGGGUGGACUUAGCCUCUCAAUGGGCUAGUAAUAAUGUAGUUUAAAUUCGUUUUUGGCGAGAAUUGAACCUAUAACCUCUCACUUACAAAUGAAGCAGAAUACCACUAGACCGUAGUACUAAGUGACAAAUCUCUCUCAGUAUUAGACAGGAGAGAUAAAGCUCUCUACUCUUAUAGUUCAUAUAUAUUUUUUCAGUUUAAUCUCUAGGGUUAUCAUCUCAAUCCUAGGACUUGGGAGGCGAAAGUUCAAAGAGACCUCCUUUUACGUAGCCAACCUAAGGAUUUGCAAGAUUCUGGAUGUGCCUGAAGGCUCAUUUCUUGGUUCGUGUUUGUGUUUCACCAAGCUUGCAGUGUUUCUAGGAACGUGUAGUGAUCCAAAUUUUUUAGCAAAAGGUUCAUGGAAAGUCUCACUUUGAGAGAAUCAUCUUAAUAUUUCUCAUCAAAAGGAUUAAUUAUAAGAUACUUACAAGUGACAAUAGACUAAUUGGCUUUAUGUACUUACAAGUGACAAUAGACUAAUUGGCUUUAUGUAACCAAUGAACGAGUUAGGGAUUUUCUUAUAUUAUUAAAGGUAAAGAUUGAUUAGCUUCUCGAGGAAAUGGGGUUGGAAAUUGUAGUUCGAAUGAUAUAAACGUUGGACGUUGGACCAUAAUCUAACGAUUAAUAGGUCUACACAGUUAAUUUAAGGUAUGCUUGGAAUAUAAAUAAAAUUAGGAUUUAGUUAAUAGCUAUAGAUUGUACCCCAAGUAAAGUUAAUAUAUUCCGGAUUUCCUUGGGGAAUAAGGGCUCCUAAUUCUAUCUUAUUUGGAAUGAGAUUUGGUGUAUCAAUUAUCCUUGGACUGCAAGGAAUCCUAAUGACAUUAUUAUGGGAAGAUUCAUUAGGGUUAAGUCCAUAUAAAUACAAGGCUAAGGUCUCUGCUUACAACACAUAGAAAACUCAUAUGAACGCCCCAUUAGUUCGAGUAUAAAGGAUUGUUGAGUGUGCAGAAGAUUUUGGUCAACUAACACAUUAUUCCACAGGAUUCCAAUACAAUUUCCACCGAAGGAGAAGUCCAUGGUUGACCCUAUUCCGCACGGUUCUAUCCAAGAUGGUUCAUCUUUCCUACAUGCCAUGUUGACUUCAAGUACUUUAUCAAAUGAGCAUAAUUUAUGGAUUUUUUCAGGUUAGUGUUUUUAGUUGUUUAUGAAAUAUAUAAAGUCUAAUAGUUGGUAUCAGAGCAGGUCAUAAUACAACUAAAGACCUACUCGGUAAACCCUAAAAGUUAAUGUCUUGAAUCCAUGACAUGUUUUAAAUUUUGCUCAAUUUCCGUAUUCAUGUUUCACGGUAAAAGAAAUUGGUUUUCAAUAUGAAUUGCGUUUUAACCUAAAUUUCAUAUUGAAAUUUGAGAUAGCUAUGUAUUAAAACUUGUCCUUUUGACUUAAAGGAAUAUUACAGACUAUUAAUUGAUAUUGCAUCCUAUUUCGAUUUCAUUAUCCCAUUGGGUUUAUACAUCUUUAUUAGCUUUAUCAAAACUACCUUAAUUGAGUCUCCAAUGUGGUUGUGGACAUAUAAUUGGGAUGUUAAAAUUAAAAAGUUAUGAAACAGGCAUUAAUGUUAUAAACAGGCUAAAUUUAGAGAGAUGACAUUUACUCGGGACAAGAACGAAGCAGUUGCAGAGUAUUAUACUAACACAAGCUGUUGCAGAGGAAGUAAUGUAUAUUAUUGCUAUUAGAUGUUUUUCUCUUCCUUUUCUCUUCUUAAUGUUCUUCCAUCAUUUGAACAAUCUAAGUGCUCUAUUUAUAAAGCCACUUCAAUGGAAAAUUAAAAAAGGAUUACUAUUUAGCUUGUGAGUUUAUACUAUACACAUGUGAUAUUUUACUAUACACAUGUGGACAAACAUACCCACUAUUUACAACACUUCCCCUUGGAUGCCCACAUAUCAAUAUCAGUUGCCUCAUUAAAACCUUGCUUGGAAAAACCCAGUGAGAAAAACCAUAGCGAAGGAAAAAGAGUACAACUUUACCUGGAUGGUGUUGAGCAUGCUUAUGUUGCCUCGUUAAAAUCUUGAUAGGAAAACCCAGUGGGAAAAAUCCUAAUCGAAGGAAAAAGAGGACAACAUACAUGUAUCAUGGAUACUCCCCCUGAAUUGUUUCUCCCCUUGAUUCUGCAUUCUUCAAAUUUGUAAGCCGACGUAAUCCUAUUCCCUGCACCAACUUUUGAAAUGUGCACUUUGGUAGAGAUUUGGUGAAAAAGUCUGCUAAAUUUUCAUUGGAACAUAUUUGUCCGACUUCAAUAACUUUACCUUUUUGAAGCUCAUGUGCACUGAAAAAUCUUGGAGAUAUGUGUUUAGUCUUGUCACCUUUGAUGAAUCAUUCCUUCAUCUGGGCAACACAGGCUGCAUUAUCUUCAUGGAUGACCGUUUGAGUGUCUUUCUUUGAAGGUAGACCACAUGAAUUCCGGAUGUGAUGGAUCAUUGAUCUUAAUCAAGAACAUUCACGACUUGCUUCAUGUAAAGCAAUUAUUUCCGAGUGAUUGGAAGAUGUAGCAACUAGCGUUUGCUUCGUUGAUCGCCAUGAAAUUGCAGUAUCUCCAUAAGUGAACACAUAUCCAUUUUGUGAGCGGGCUUUAUGCAGAUCGAAGAGAAAACCAACAUCUGCGUAUCCAACAAGGAUCUGAUCAUUUGUGAGCUUGUCAGAGUAGAAGAGACCCAUAUCUGUUGUCCCAUGAAGGUAUCGUAGAACAUCUUUGACUUAUUUCCAAUGACGAAUUGUUGGAGCAGAGCUGUACCUGGCUAACAAGUUAACUGAAAAAGCUAUAUCUGGUAUAGUACAUUGUGCUAAAUACAAUAAAGCACCUAUUGCGCUUAAAUAUGGUACUUCUGGACCAAGGACCAAUUCAUCAUUUUCUUUUGGACGAAAUGGAUCUUUCUUAAUGUCCAAAGAACGAACGACCAUUGGAGUGCUAAGUGGAUAAGCCUUGUCCAUGCCAAAUCACUUCAGUAUCUUUUCAAUGUAAGCUGAUUGAUGGACCAAAAUUCCAUUAGCACAAUGCUCAUCUGCAGGCCGAGACAAUAUUUUGUUUUCCCAAAGUCUUUCAUUUCAAAUUCGCUUUUCAGAUAUUCAGCAGUUUUAUUGAGCUCUUCAGGGGUUCCAACUAGGUUCAUAUCAUCGACGUAUACUGCCACUAUAGCAAAUCGAGUAUUUGAUUUCUUAAUGAACACACAAUGGCAGAUGACAUUGUUGGCAUAUCCUUCUUUAAUCAAAUACUCACUGAGACAAUUAUACCACAUUCGCCCAGAUUGUUUCAACCCAUAUAGUGAUCGCCUUAAUUUGAUUGAGAACAUACCUCGUGGUUUGUUAGUUGCUUCAGGCAACUUAAGUCCUUCUGGGACUUUCAUAUAUAUGUCAGUAUCUAAUUCUCCAUAUAGAUACGCGGCGAUGACAUCCAUAAGUCGCAUGUCAAGUUUUUCUGAAAUCACCAAACUUAUUAAGUAACGGAACGUAAUUGCGUCCAUUAUAGGAGAGUAUGUCUCUUUAUAAUCAAUUCCAGGUCUUUGUGAAAAACCUUGUGCAACGAGUCUUGCUUUAUAUCUUGCAAUCUCGUUUUUCUCGUUACGUUUCCUUGUGAAUACCCAUUUGUAACCUACGGGGUUCACACCAGGCAGGGUUUGGACUAUUGGUCCAAAAACACUUCGUCUUUCCAAGGAAUUUAAUUCUGCCUGGAUUGCAUCUUUCCACUUAGGCCAAUCUUGUCUCUGUCUGCAUUCAUCAACAGAGCGGGGCUCAAUAUCAUCACUUAAGAUAAUUUCAGUGGCUAUUGCAAAUGCAAACAUGUCGUCGAUGAUUAUUUCAUUUCGAUCCCACAAUUCAUUAGUACAUGCAUAAUUUAUGGAUAUUUCUUUGCUUUUAUGUACUUCUGUCUCUUCAGGGACAGAUGUCUCAUCAAGGACAUUUUCUUUUUCUAGAAGUACAGAAUCAUGAAUUAUGGAUUUAUCAUUCAAUUUCUUUUCUUGAAUGAUUUCAUUUAGGUUCAAUUGUGCCCUCAUCUUUCUCUUUCGAGGGGCUGAAUCUUUUGAACGUGGGGGUCUACCACGCUUCAGGCGUGCACUAGAGGAAUCAUUCGUUGCCACUUUAUUUUGUCCAACAGGGACAUCAAUUCUUGCAGGUGCAUUUGCAACUGGUAUAUGUGACUUUGUCACUUUCGAAGCAUCAUUAAAAGCAUCUGGCAUUUGAUUAGUGAUACCUUGAAGAUGAACGAUUAUUUUCACUUCAUUUUCACAUUAAGUGCUUCGUGGAUCAAAAUGAGAUAAGGUGGGAACAACCCAUGUUAGUUCUUACUGUUCUUCUGGAACGGUCUUUUCUCCCCCUAACGACGGGAAAACUGUCUCAUCAAAAUGACAAUCAGCAAAACGAGCCGUAAACAUAUCACUAGUCAAAGGUUCCAAAUAUCUAAUGAUAGAUGAUGAAUCAAAACCUACAUAAAUUCUCAGUCUACGCUGAAGUCCCAUUUUAGUUCGUUGUGGCGGUGCAAUAAGCACAUAAACAGCACAACCAAAAACUCGUAAAUGGGAAAUGUUUGGCUGUUAUCCAAACAUGAGUUGUAUUGAUGAAUAUUGGUGGUUGGCUAUGGGUCUCAAUCUAACCAAUGAUGCAUAAUGUAAUAUGGCAUGUCCCCAUGCAGAGACUGGCAAUUUCGUUUUCAUGAGCAGAGUGCGGGCUAUUAAUUGAAGCCGCUUAAUAAAUGCCUCUGCUAAACCAUUUUGAGUAUGGACAUGAGGAACAGGGUGUUCAACAUCAAUGCCUAGUGCCAUACAGUAAUCAUCAAAGGUUUGAGACGUAAAUUCACCAGCGUUAUCAAGUCGAAUGGACUUAAUAGGAUGAUCUGGGAACUGUGCUCGCAACUUAAUUAUCUGAGCAAGAAGUCUCGCAAAAACUACAUUUCGAGUAAAUAAUAGGCAAACAUGUGACCAUCGGGUAGAUGCAUCAACCAAAACCAUAAAAUAUCGAAAUGGUCCACAAGGUGGGUGAAUAGGUUCACAAAUAUCCCUUUGAAUUCUUUGCAAAAAUGAUGGGGCUUCAUCAUCAACCUUUAGUUGUGAUGGUCUAAUUACCAACUUCCCUUGGGAACAAGCCUUGCAAGGGUUAUCAUUUGAGACAUCAAUAUGUCUGCUCAAUAAUGGAUGUCCAUUAGAGUUGGUAAUGAUUCUACGCAUCAUGGUAGAUCCUGGAUGACCUAGACAAUCAUGCCAAAGCAUGUAAACCUUUGAAUCAAUGAACUUCUGGUUCAUAACAGUAUAUGCCUCAACUGUCUUUAUGUAUGUAUAAUACAAUCUACUCGAUAAAUCAUGCAACUUCUCCAAUAUACGCUUCUGGGUAUCAUUGGAGGUAAUGCAUAAAUAUUCCACAUUUUCUACACUUUUCGUUUCAAUGUGGUGUCCAUUUAGACGUAUGUCUUUAAAACUUAACAAAUUUUGAAUGGAUCGAGUAGCAUAUAAUGCAUUCUUUAUAGACAAUAUUGUUCCAUUUGGUAACAUAAUCUGGGCUUUUCCUGAGCCUUCAAUUACAUCUGAUUGCCCUGAUAUUGUUGUUACCUUUACUUUUGCAAGUACCAAAUUCGAGAAAUACUUUCGAUCUCGAAGUAUUGAAUGCAUGGUUGCGCUGUUUGCAAGACAAAAUUCUCCGCCAUUGCUCUUGUUUUGAGAAUAACCAUAAUUUUUAUCCAUGUUCUCUGAGUAAAGAAAAAGCAGUUUAUUCAUACUAUAAUACUACUUUUAUUGAAUUGAAAAUGCGAGCAUUAAACCACAAGUACAAAUAACAGGAGUACAUUAAACAUAACUAAUUCAAUCGGACCCAUAAACUUCAUUCCCUCUUUCAUUAAUAAAGUAUGUAGCAUCCAGGUGGGUUGUGUUUAACUGUCCUGAUAAAUUGGUCACUGGAUCAGGGGUUUCCAUUGGUUGAGCCAGGUCGAAGAAAUUGAUCUCGACACCCUUCUCCUUGAAGGAGGCUUGAUACAGCUCCACCAGAUGCUUUGGGGUGCGACAAGUACGUGCCCAAUGUCCGUUGCCACCACACCUAUGACAACCUCCUUCAUGAUUUCUAGGAGUGUUCACAUGAGCUUUUCCUUUCUGGCGAUUUGCAUUUUUAAAGCUCGAGCCUAGAUUAUGCCUUGGAACUUGGUUGUGAAACUGGACACCAUGGUUCAUGCCUUUCCCUUUCCACCGGCCUUGCUUGUGGCCACGUCCUCGUUUGUAAUUAUUGCCAUGGGAGGAUAUGGUAUUCCUUUUAAGGGAAGCAUCAUUCACUUCUGGGAACGGU